UACACACCGCCCGUCACGCCAUGGAAGCUGGGGGGACCUGAAGCCGGUGGGCUAACCGCAAGGGGGCAGCCGUCAAAGGUCAAUUCAGUGACUGGAGCG
RNAcentral lists this ribosomal RNA (99 nucleotides) under uncultured bacterium. RNAcentral describes it as "partial 16S ribosomal RNA". It matches the Rfam family "Bacterial small subunit ribosomal RNA", at positions 1384 to 1482 of the family's 1533-position model. The record is from RNAcentral.